GUUGUACAUCCUAGUCAGAAUCAGAGAACAAUGGAGUGCUGCGUGCUAGUGACCACCUCACCCUCUCCUCCUCAUACUCUCCCACCUCAUUCACUGUAGCGGGAGAUGGGAAAACCCAGGAGAAGCUAGAAAAAUGGUGGCAACGUGCGGAACUUCCCUCGUUUGCUGUCGAUGGGAAAUGCUGACCAAGACAGGCCUUUGAGACAGCGGCGCUGCAGAGACCCGAGGAGCACAAAUCAAGGCAGAACUCUUAAAGCAGCAGCAAAGGAGUCAAAUACAACUGCAAAAUCUACAUAUAAUCCAAUAUUUCGGUCUGGUUUUUAUUUGCUCUGAGCUAAAUAAACGUGAAUAACGAGAAGGAAGCCUCAGCCAUGCUGAUGGCAUUGCAGACAAUAUAAAGUACGCUUGGUUCACUUCAUCAUAAAAUUCCAUCGUGGAUCACACCUGCAGAGAUACAGUUCUUUUUUCCAAUUUCUAUUUUUUCUCCCCCAAACAGCCAUACCUGGCAACUGACUGUUUUGGCUGUCGGUGAUUAUGACUAGCCAGCAGUCAGAAAUCAUUCAAGAAUAUUCCCUGUCCCCUUCCGAAGCUAUCAGUAAAAAUUACACAUUGGGGUUGGGGAUUUAGCUCAGUGGUAGAGCGCUUGCCUAGGAAGCGCAAGGCCCUGGGUUCGGUCCCCAGCUCCAAAAAAAAGAAAAAGGAAAAAAAAAAUUACACACUAGCCUCUACUGAAGAAAUGGAUCUAGGUCAGACAAACAUAAACACUGAGUAAUGAAAGGAUGAGAAGAGUUACAGCACUGGAAAAGACUGUUCAGAGAAACUAGCAGACUCAUACAUGCAGAAGCUACACACACGGAGAAUCACAUACACACACAUGCACAUACAUGCGCAAACACAAAUAUACACAUACACAUGCACAAACACACACACGUGCACAUGCACAUACACAUACACAAACACAAAUACACACAUGCACAUACACGUGCACAAACACAAAUACACACAUACACAUGCACAAAGAAACACACACACAUACGUGCACAUGCACAUACACAUGCACAAAAACAAAUACUCGCAAAAACGCAUACGCAAGUGCUCACACGCGUGCGCGUUCACACAAACGCACAUACCAUUUGAAAACAGAAACAGGGUAUUUUUUUUUCCAGGAUCUCAAAAGGAAAGACCUCAGAUUACAGAUUUAAUGAGGAUCUAGAUUCGAUGCUCAGCAAAGAGAGGGAGAGGAGGAAGGUAAAAGGUCAGGGAGGGAAGGAGAGAGGGAGAGAGGGAGAGAGGGAGGGAGGGAGGUGAUUUUCUGGCUAAGUAUAUAAUAAACAGCUUCACUUAUCAAAUCCUACCACACUAUAAUUAAAUCAGAACAGCAACGGAAGGGGAUCCUCAGUCCUCAUUUUCAUCUUGCAUGAAGUGCAAUCUCCUUACAUCUUAAUGUGUAUUCUUUCACCAAAGUCACAUAUUAAAGUCAUUGUUAACCACUGGUAAUACAAAUUAAAGACUAAUAGAAACCUCUCUGGACUUUGGGUGAGAAGAACAGGUUCCGUCUCUAACAUGCAAGCUGUGUGGACUCAGGGUGGAAAAUCAGUCACCUGCUGGGAAAUUCAAAUCUUCUUAGCUGCAUCACAGCCUUUUCUCACAAGGAUCAGAUAUAAUGAUGUGUGUGAAAUACCUCGUAAGCUGGGAAGCAUUAGCCACACGAGGACGUUAUCAACGCCACAUGUGAGCUGUACAAUUGUACCCAGAACUUGGAGAAGCAGUGUGCUCUCAGCUAUACAACGCAUGUAGCAAAUGCACUGAAGAGUAAGAACGUAUCACGAGACGGAACGGAGAGCGGAAACCAUCCAAAAAAAAAAAAAAAAAAAAGUUCACCCAAGGCUUUUGUGAACAGAUGGGAACCACGAGGUCUCUGCCACACUUCACAUUCUCUAGGUCUCCUGUGUCUUAGGGGACAGCUUUCCCACCUCUUUUUCAGUCCUUGAUGUGGCCUUUCACCAUGCUUGCUACACUGAGAAUAGCUGUGCUAAAACCUGCUGACAUCCGGCUCUCGGGAGUCUAGACACUCGCUCGACCUUAGAGAACACAGCAUCUGAAUCAUGAUUCUCUUUAGUACCCUGUCUUACACCCAUGAGAGUGUAAAUUUAAAUUCUGAGUGUAGGCUGGACUGUCUGAGACUAAGCUUUCUGAAGGCAGCAAAAAAAAAAAAAAAAAAGUUCUCAUAUAAGAUAGCCCAAAAAAAAAAAUGGAGAAAGUCCAACGGAAAUUUUCAUAGAAUCAUAGAGUAUUUCUGCAAGAUGCUUGUCGUAAUAAUUAAAAUGCUUCAAGACACUUCAUAAAAUAUGAAAAUUAUCAACAAUAAUUGCAAAGACAGGAAUUUUGUCGUGACUGGAAAACACAGAAAAUGAAUUCACCGUGUGUCUAGAAGAGUAGAAUUAAAGCCAAAACCAGAAAGAGAACAUAUCAUACUUAAAGAUGGUCCGCUUCGUGCCGCCACUGUGAGGGCUUGAGUAACGUGCUUCUCACCAAAAUGAGACAGUAUGCCAGUCAAGAGGGACCUUCAAGUCCUGAUUUGGUGGAAACGACAAUCAAAGACGCCCAACCUUGCCCCUGCCUCAGAAGACACAGUAUUUCCCCUGUUAUGUAUUUGGAGGUUCUGUCAUUGAGGUGAACUGAUCUAUCAAAAAUUCGUGAAACAAGGUAACCGUUCAUCACUGAGGGAAGGACAGGCAGAAACUCAAAUAAGGCAGGAACCUGGAGAGAGCAACUGCCCUGCUCCCUGUGUUCUGCUCAGCCUGCUUUCCUACUGGACCCAGGAUCACCAGCCCAGGGGUGGCACCACCCACAGAUAAAGACUGAAAAUGAAGAAUGGGAGCCUCUCAGACCGUGCUGUGGCUUUGAAGCCACAUAUCUGAAUAUGCGAUCUCUUGCUUUCCCACUCAGGAACCCUGGAGAGCACUGUUAUCUGACUGAUUAUGAAUGCACGUAUUUUCACAAGAAUAUGCAAUCUUAACUGCCUCAGCGCAGGACAUUGAAGUGACGAAGUACCAAAUUAAAGAUUGUUCUUUUUUUGUCUGGAAUUCACUCCAGCAAGAAAUUGAACAAGGAGAUUUGGAAUCCAAAAACAGUAGACCACCUCAUGAGACAUUAUUAAUUAUUGGUGGAGCCCGGCCUUCUGGUUUCUUAUCUCCCCAUAACCCAGUGCUCCCAUCCCCUGAAAGGAAUUUACUGUUUAUUAAUGCCUUCCGCAACUUUGGUAUCCGGGCAAGCGCAGGAAGCUUCCUACCAAAGUUACACAGAUGUCAUCUGAGUGUGAGCCACAGUUGUCAGUCUUUCCAAUGGACUUGAAAUCAGUAGGGGAAAAUGUAUAGGGGCGGGAAGAUGGCUCAAAGAGUAAAGUACCGAAUUACAUAUGAGGAUGUACAGAAUUACGUAUGAACAUUUGAGUCUGGAUUCUCAACAUCCAUGUAUAGUGCCGGGACUAUAGCAUGUGCCAGGGAAACAGACACAGGUUACCUGAGGCUUACCCCGAGGCCAAAACUAGCUAAAUCUGUUUAGAUCCAGGUUCAGUCAAAAGCCCAAAAUAGGAAAUAAUCAAGGUAGAUACCAGACAUUAACCUUUUGCCUUCAUAUACAGCUACCCGCAUGUGCAUGUAAACUACUGCAUACACACUCACAUGUACAUACAUACAUACAUACAAACAUACAUACAUACAUACAUACAUACAUACAUACAUGCUGUCUUUGGAGUUCCUGGAGCUUUAACAUUCUAUUCAUAUCUGCACUAGUCCACCAAUUUCUAAAUGUCAGCUGGGUCUUAGUUCACUGGCACCAUACAACCUAAGGGCUUAGAGACUUAGGUUAUAGACCCCUGACAUUUGUCAGAGUCUGAGGACAUGCACAGUCCUUUUAAAAAAAAAAAAAAAGCUGAUCCUAUUAAGAUUUUCUGUUAGGACUACAAAACCCUUAGCCCAUUUUCUGAAUAAAACUCAUCUGUUCGAUCAUUAAAAUAAAUGGAAUAGGCUUCAACAGAUAACCGUGAAGGUGUGUUUUGUGGAGGUUGCAAAAGCUUUGACUUUAAGCUGGGCAUGGCGGUACACACCUGGCAUGCUAGAACUCUGAACACGGAGAACGGAAGAUUGUGAAUUUGAAGCCAGCCUAAGCUACAUAGUCAAACCGUGUCUUUUAAAGACAGAAUUGUUACUUUGAAGGUAGAAGUUUCCAGAUAGGGUUCAGGACUUGCUAUCACAAAAUACAGAGCCUGGGUAUAUUUUAAAAUGACAGUGUGUUUUUGUUUCUCCCAAGCUUUCCUAUAAACAGAAAACUUUCUUUAGCCCUCCCCUACCUUCCCCUCCCAGAACUUAGGAAGGACUUCCCAACAUUCCUUGACACAGGUCAUAACACUCACACACGGGGUGCCUUUCCUACACUCAGAGAAAAGAACCCACAUCACCAAAGGUGAGAGAAAUACAAACAGAUCUUGGUGUGCUCUCCAGUUUAUUGCCUUGUCCUCACAUUCCGUUUGUCCUAUCGAAUUUUCCCACAAAUGAACACUCUUCCUCACGUUUCCUGGCUUUAAAACAUUCAAAUUAAACCAGGCCUAGGAGAAGCACACAGGAAACUGAAGAUGAUCAUAAGCUGGAAGUCAGCCUGAGCUGUGAGGUGAGACCCAUCCUCAAAAACAAAACAAGGAAAAACACUAGACUGUUUUCUUCAGCUGUCUAUUUCCUAUGUCACUUAUAAUUAUACCAAAUAAAUACACAUGCUUUGCCCUUGCCAAUAUGA
This is a long non-coding RNA of Rattus norvegicus (Norway rat), 4791 nucleotides long. RefSeq lists it as uncharacterized. Lineage: Eukaryota; Metazoa; Chordata; Mammalia; Rodentia; Muridae. The record is from RefSeq and is a predicted model, not a curated record.